UAGUUGACUUCAGCUGUAGGGCUUUGAUCACAUGACUUUGAUAACUUAGGGAAUAAAAGGCUGCUUUGCCUUGCUUUUAGAAAUAAUGUUUGGCUCUGUGAUUCAGCUUCUUGGUAAGUUACCUACAAUUUAUAUGAAAGAUCUUCUGUAUCUCUUAUAACUUCCUAGCAGUUCUGAUGCAGAAAAUAGGUUCCUUCAAGUGCUUAUCCACAGGGAGAAGCUGGCUGGGGAACGGCCACCAGAGAAUAAGCAACACGUCUCAAGUAGCUACAUGGGAAUAUCCAUCCUGUAUGCUCACAGAGGGUCGAACAGUCUCAGGAUGUGGUCUGCAUGUUAGCACUGAGUCGUCUCUGUGGAUCCAGAAGAAUUCAUUUGAAGAAGAAAGCAGAAGAAGCUGCCGUGAGCCACUACAGGAGUCAGUUUUCCCAGGAUGGAGCCGCC
RNAcentral lists this long non-coding RNA (441 nucleotides) under Phasianus colchicus (ring-necked pheasant). RNAcentral describes it as "lncRNA (ENSPCLG00000010441.1)". Lineage: Eukaryota; Metazoa; Chordata; Aves; Galliformes; Phasianidae. The record is from RNAcentral.